UGAAUACGAGACGCUAAGGCGUCGAAGUAGUGUAUGUCAUACUUCCAAGAAAAGCUUGCACUGUCAUAGAUAAAAAACGCCUGUACCAUAACCGACACAGGUGGGUAGGUAGAGUAUACUAAGGGGCGCGAGAUAACUCUCUCUAAGGAACUCGGCAAAAUAACUCCGUAACUUCGGGAGAAGGAGUGCCUUAUUCGUAAGGUUGCAAUAACAAGAUCCAAGCAACUGUUUAUCAAAAACACAGGUCUCCGCUAAGUCGUAAGACGAUGUAUGGGGGCUGACGCCUGCCCAGUGCCAGAAGGUUAAAGAAGUUGGUUAGCAAUUGCGAAGCUGAUAACUGAAGCCCUGGUGAACGGCGGCCGUAACUAUAACGGUCCUAAGGUAGCGAAAUUCCUUGUCGGGUAAGUUCCGACCCGCACGAAAGGCGUAAUGAUUUGGAUACUGUCUCGGAGAGGGGCUCGGUGAAAUAGACUUGUCUGUGAAGAUGCGGACUACCUGCACCAGGACAGAAAGACCCUAUGAAGCUUUACUGUAACUUGAAAUUGAAAUUGGACUUUAUUCGCGCAGUAUAGGUGGGAGGCGUUGAUUAUAAUCUUGUGGGAUUAUUGGAGCCAUCAGUGAGAUACCACUCUUGUAAUGUUAGAUUUCUAACUUUGAAUCAUUAUCUGGUCAAAGAACAGUUUCAGGCGGGCAGUUUGACUGGGGCGGUCGCCUCCUAAACGGUAACGGAGGCGUACAAAGGUUUCCUCUGAACGGUUAGAAAUCGUAUCUAGAGUGUAAAGGCAUAAGGAAGCUUGACUGUGAGACCUACAAGUCGAGCAGGGACGAAAGUCGGUCUUAGUGAUCUGACGGUACUGAGUGGAAAGGCCGUCACUCAACGGAUAAAAGUUACUCUAGGAUAACAGGCUGAUCUCCCCCAAGAGUUCACAUCGACGGGGAGGUUUGGCACCUCGAUGUCGGCUCAUCGCAUCCUGGGGCGGUAGUACGUCCCAAGGGUUAGGCUGUUCGCCCAUGAAAGCGGUACGCGAGCUGGGUUCAGAACGUCGUGACACAGUUCGGUCCAUAUCCGGUGUAGGCGUUAGAAUAUUGAGAGGAGCCUUCUUUUGUACGAGAGGACCGAGAAGGACAUACCUCUGGUGUACCAGUUAUCGUGCCAACGGUAAACGCUGGGUAGCUAUGUAUGGAGUGGAUAACCGCUGAAAGCAUCUAAGUGGGAAGCCCACCUCAAGAUAAGUAUUCUCAUC
This 1244-nucleotide ribosomal RNA is filed under the name metagenome. RNAcentral's name for it is "bacterial LSU rRNA". It matches the Rfam family "Bacterial large subunit ribosomal RNA", at positions 1564 to 2818 of the family's 2925-position model. The record is from RNAcentral.